Long non-coding RNA from Onychostruthus taczanowskii (white-rumped snowfinch), 425 nucleotides. RefSeq lists it as uncharacterized. The transcript is spliced from 4 exons. The record is from RefSeq and is a predicted model, not a curated record. NCBI's taxonomy places the organism in Eukaryota, Metazoa, Chordata, Aves, Passeriformes, Passeridae.
UGUCCGGUUGAGCCUGGGAUGUUCUGGCCUGCCCAGAUGUAUGAUCCAGCAUUUUGGAGAGUCCCCAUGGCAGGGGGUCGCAGUGGUGUGUGUCAGAUGUCCGGUUGAGCCUGGGACAUUCUGACCAGCCCAGAUAUAUGAUCCAGUAUUUUGGAGAGUCCCCAUGGCAGGGGUUCGCAGUGGUGUGUGUCAGGUGUCUGGUUGAGCCUGGGACGUUCUGACCAGCCCAGAUGUAUGGUGCAGCAUUUUGGAGAGUCCCCGUGACUGGGGGUCGCUGUGGUGUGUGUCAGGGGGAUCGGGUCCAGCACUUCAAGCGGCACUGGGACCAGAACUGCAAGGACCAUUUGGAGCUGCCCUCCUCACCAAGGGGAUGACCUUCACUCUGGAAUGACUUUGACCUCAGUCUGACUCCAUGCUCUCUCCCG